GCUGGAGGUGCAGCAGCAUUAGCAUCACCUGAAGAUGUUCCUCAAUGAGAAGUCUGGGAACACUCUGUGUUUGUGUGUGUGUGUGUGUGUGUGUUUUUUCAGACACUGAAGGGCCUGUGCAUCGACAGUCAGCGCAGCAGAAUCCUGCAGAGGCUGGAACUCUCCCUGGACAUCCUCGCCGGCACCGUGGAGCGAAUCUCCAACACGGCUGAGGUGCUCGGAGCCGUGCACCAGGAGGCGCGAGUGAGUCGGGCGGUGGAGCUGAUGUUGGCUCACGUGGAGAAUCUGAGGAGACAACACGAUAAAAACGUAUCAGAUCUGGAGGAAGCCAAGAAGCUGAUCCAGCAGCAGAGCAUCUUGUCUCCCAGAGCAUGUUCAGAUCCAGAGGACAGUGACAGCCGAAUGAGGAGCUUCCAGCAGGUAUUUGUGUGUGCCUCAUUAGUCACCAUGACCCUUUCAGAACUUUCAAAUCUGUAUUUUUGUACGUCUUUCAUGUAUUUGACCCAGAAUAGCAGCCGUCGGAGGGUCAGCAUGUCAUUAAUUUCCAGGGAAUCUCAGGUAAUUCUGGCUUCUGUAGUUGUCGUCAAUGUUGCUGGAAACAAAUGUAGGAGAAACAAAGUGCUUCUUGGUCUGUGCAGGUGAUAAAGCGACAACUGAAAAAACGAGUGACGCAAAGCACCAAGAAGCCGGGCCGCUCUGGGUCCCCCAGCUCCGAGUCCAGCUGUUCUGUUUUGACCAAAGAGGACAACUGCUUGGUGGAUGACAGGUGUCCUCAUGAGGAUCCUGGUCUGGUCUACCUCAGUGUUUCCACCCAGUCUUUGUUUACCUAUUUUUUCCCUCUUUACAGACCAGCGAAUCCAGAUGACCCCCCAUCAGCUCCACCUCCUCCAGCGCAGUCUUCCAUCCCCGACCCAGAUCACCUCCCGAAACAUCCUUCCAGCAGGAAGAUGCAGAGGAAAAAUUCACCUCCGCCUGCUGUGCGACAGAGGCACAGGAUCACGUCCUCGCUCGCCAGGAAAAAAGCAGACAAAGAUAAACGGAGUAAGGACGUUUACCACAGGCUUUCUGUGGGCAAGUCUGGAUCAGUGUGCAGGCGACCUCUGGCCCUCUGGCUGGACUGCUGCCGGUGGAUGCUCCUCUUCAUCUACAUGUUGGUGCUUUUCUGCGUCAUAA
RNAcentral lists this long non-coding RNA (1173 nucleotides) under Takifugu rubripes (torafugu). Its description in RNAcentral is "lncRNA (ENSTRUG00000029284.1)". Lineage: Eukaryota; Metazoa; Chordata; Actinopteri; Tetraodontiformes; Tetraodontidae. The record is from RNAcentral.